Molecule: ribosomal RNA, 253 nt
Filed under: uncultured bacterium
Lineage: Bacteria
Description: partial 16S ribosomal RNA
Rfam family: Bacterial small subunit ribosomal RNA
Source: RNAcentral
UACGGAGGGUGCAAGCGUUGUCCGGAUUCAUUGGGUUUAAAGGGUGCGCAGGCGGGACAUUAAGUCAGGGGUGAAAGACGGUUGCUCAACAAUCGCAGUGCCUUUGAUACUGGUGUUCUUGGGUAACCUUGAGGUAGGCGGAAUGGGUGGUGUAGCGGUGAAAUGCAUAGAUACCACCCAGAACUCCGAUUGCGAAGGCAGCCUACUGGAGGUCAACCGACGCUCAGGCACGGAAGCGUGGGGAUCAAACAGG